Molecule: non-coding RNA, 512 nt
Organism: Punica granatum (pomegranate)
Lineage: Eukaryota; Viridiplantae; Streptophyta; Magnoliopsida; Myrtales; Lythraceae
Source: RefSeq, a predicted model, not a curated record
UUCUGUCCCCCAGCGAUCAAAUGCUACCAAUCAUUUCCUCAUUAGUUCAUCUAGAAGAACUUCUGCGUUGAUCGAUAUCACCUCUUCGGAUCUGCAGCUUUUGCUUUAUAUCGGACUUUUAGUUCGUUGCGUAGAUCAUGGAGCAGAAAGACAGCAAGACUACGAAGCCCACCGAGCCUCAAGCCAAAGCACAAGAGGCUCCUAAAUCGGAUAGCGAGUCCCAGACUUGGGUCAAGGCAGUAGGUCACUAUCUGUGCUGCUGCUGGAUCUGCUGCGAUUCCACUACACCGACCAAGGGAACUAACAAAUGAUCGAGGAUGGUCGCAUCAGCAGGUGAAAACAUAUAUGAUUCCAAUGAUUGACGAGCUAUGGCGUAUUAAGUGUGGGGUUGAUUUGUGAUUUACUUGAUGUAAUCUAAUAAGUUUCCGAAACUCUUUUUCAAAGUACUAAUGUGCGACUUGACUGUAAGAGCAAUCGAGUGAAUUUAUAAUAUCAAUGGACUGUUGGUUAAA